ACUCAGCUGCCUCUCUCACCUCACCCUCACUCUCAUCCGCCCCUUAUGGUCUCACCCAGUCACCCUCACUCUCACUCUCAUUCACUCACUGACCCACCCUCAUCCUCACUCUCAUCAUGUGGUGGUUGCUGCUUGUCAUGGAGGAGCACAGAUCUCGUGGUGGUUGCUGUUUGUCACGGAGGAGCACGAGAUUGUUUGAUCAGAGAGAGAUAUGAUGAUCGAAGGAGCUCUUGGUCAUGUUGAGGUCAGACGAAACCCAGAGGUGGGAUUGAUGGCUGAAACCUCCACCGUUGGAACUUUGAUUUGAGUUGGUCCUAGAACUCAUCUCUGAAGCAGUUGGGACCCUUGUCGGCAUUGUUGUUCUACUCCUACAGAUAAUACACGAUCUUCACCAAAUAAUCUCAAUAACACAUGAAGGAUUUCAGCAAGUUGUGCUGGUCCUAAAACUCAUUGGUAAAGUAGUUGGGUCCCGUGUCAGCCUUGUUGUUCUACUCCUACGGUUGAUACGUAUAUGCAGAAGGAUUUGGUCCAUUUUGACUGAAAGACAACCUGUUGUUGUUGCUAAUGACCACCGGAACGAAGUCCCACUUGCUGAUAUUAACCAUGGCUAGAAUGAUAUCCC
Quercus robur (English oak) is the source of this 622-nucleotide RNA transcript. RefSeq lists it as uncharacterized. The record is from RefSeq and is a predicted model, not a curated record. The transcript has 3 exons. Lineage: Eukaryota; Viridiplantae; Streptophyta; Magnoliopsida; Fagales; Fagaceae.